RNAcentral lists this ribosomal RNA (1359 nucleotides) under uncultured bacterium. RNAcentral describes it as "bacterial SSU rRNA". It matches the Rfam family "Bacterial small subunit ribosomal RNA", at positions 28 to 1381 of the family's 1533-position model. The record is from RNAcentral.
GAUGAACGCUAGCUACAGGCUUAACACAUGCAAGUCGAGGGGCAGCAUUUUAGUUUGCUUGCAAACUGAAGAUGGCGACCGGCGCACGGGUGAGUAACACGUAUCCAACCUGCCGAUAACUCCGGAAUAGCCUUUCGAAAGAAAGAUUAAUACCGGAUGGCAUACGAAUAUCGCAUGAUAUUUUUAUUAAAGAAUUUCGGUUAUCGAUGGGGAUGCGUUCCAUUAGUUUGUUGGCGGGGUAACGGCCCACCAAGACUACGAUGGAUAGGGGUUCUGAGAGGAAGGUCCCCCACAUUGGAACUGAGACACGGUCCAAACUCCUACGGGAGGCAGCAGUGAGGAAUAUUGGUCAAUGGGCGAGAGCCUGAACCAGCCAAGUAGCGUGAAGGAUGAAGGCUCUAUGGGUCGUAAACUUCUUUUAUAUGGGAAUAAAGUUCUCCACGUGUGGAAUUUUGUAUGUACCAUAUGAAUAAGGAUCGGCUAACUCCGUGCCAGCAGCCGCGGUAAUACGGAGGAUCCGAGCGUUAUCCGGAUUUAUUGGGUUUAAAGGGAGCGUAGGUGGAUUGUUAAGUCAGUUGUGAAAGUUUGCGGCUCAACCGUAAAAUUGCAGUUGAAACUGGCAGUCUUGAGUACAGUAGAGGUGGGCGGAAUUCGUGGUGUAGCGGUGAAAUGCUUAGAUAUCACGAAGAACUCCGAUUGCGAAGGCAGCUCACUGGACUGCAACUGACACUGAUGCUCGAAAGUGUGGGUAUCAAACAGGAUUAGAUACCCUGGUAGUCCACACAGUAAACGAUGAAUACUCGCUGUUUGCGAUAUACAGUAAGCGGCCAAGCGAAAGCAUUAAGUAUUCCACCUGGGGAGUACGCCGGCAACGGUGAAACUCAAAGGAAUUGACGGGGGCCCGCACAAGCGGAGGAACAUGUGGUUUAAUUCGAUGAUACGCGAGGAACCUUACCCGGGCUUAAAUUGCAUUUGAAUAUAUUGGAAACAGUAUAGCCGUAAGGCAAAUGUGAAGGUGCUGCAUGGUUGUCGUCAGCUCGUGCCGUGAGGUGUCGGCUUAAGUGCCAUAACGAGCGCAACCCUUAUCUUUAGUUACUAACAGGUCAUGCUGAGGACUCUAGAGAGACUGCCGUCGUAAGAUGUGAGGAAGGUGGGGAUGACGUCAAAUCAGCACGGCCCUUACGUCCGGGGCUACACACGUGUUACAAUGGGGGGUACAGAAGGCAGCUACCUGGUGACAGGAUGCUAAUCCCAAAAGCCUCUCUCAGUUCGGAUCGAAGUCUGCAACCCGACUUCGUGAAGCUGGAUUCGCUAGUAAUCGCGCAUCAGCCAUGGCGCGGUGAAUACGUUCCCGGGCCU